UACGAAGGGGGCUAGCGUUGUUCGGAAUUACUGGGCGUAAAGCGCGCGUAGGCGGGUUGUUAAGUCAGGUGUGAAAUCCCGGGGCUCAACCUCGGAACUGCAUUUGAAACUGGAUACCUAGAGUCAGGGAGAGGUUCGUGGAAUACCGAGUGUAGAGGUGAAAUUCGUAGAUAUUCGGUGGAACACCAGUGGCGAAGGCGACGAACUGGACCGGUACUGACGCUGAGGUGCGAAAGUGUGGGGAGCAAACAGG
RNAcentral lists this ribosomal RNA (253 nucleotides) under uncultured bacterium. RNAcentral's name for it is "partial 16S ribosomal RNA". It matches the Rfam family "Bacterial small subunit ribosomal RNA", at positions 524 to 776 of the family's 1533-position model. The record is from RNAcentral.